RNAcentral lists this transfer RNA (72 nucleotides) under Omosudis lowii (hammerjaw). RNAcentral's name for it is "tRNA-Thr". It matches the Rfam family "tRNA". Rfam says of the family: Transfer RNA (tRNA) molecules are approximately 80 nucleotides in length. Lineage: Eukaryota; Metazoa; Chordata; Actinopteri; Aulopiformes; Alepisauridae. The record is from RNAcentral.
GCCCUAGUAGCUCAGUUUUAGAGCGCCGGUCUUGUAAUCCGGAGGCCUGAGGUUAGAAUCCUCCCUAGUGCU